This is a non-coding RNA of Phasianus colchicus (ring-necked pheasant), 1552 nucleotides long. The record is from RefSeq and is a predicted model, not a curated record. NCBI's taxonomy places the organism in Eukaryota, Metazoa, Chordata, Aves, Galliformes, Phasianidae.
CUGAGGCGGGGAGGAGGGGAGGGUAGACGGGGUGGCCGCUUCCUCCCAUUUAGCGGCGAGGGAGCGGCGGGAGCGCGUUCGGCUGGCCGCGUUGUGACGCCGGGCGGCCGGAGGGGACUGCCGGCGGGGGGCGGGGGGAGCCGUCUGCGCCGCGGCCGCUGCUGCUGCUGCUGCUGCUGCCCGCUCCUCCUCCUGCCGCUCGGCGGAGCGCCCUCCACCCCGCCCUCUCUCCGCCCGGGACCGAGUGUGGUGGCCACAAAAUGGCGGAUGGGGAGCUGAACGUGGACAGCCUCAUCACCCGGCUGCUGGAAGUACGAGGAUGUCGUCCUGGGAAGAUUGUUCAGAUGACAGAAGCAGAAGUUCGGGGCUUGUGCAUAAAAUCACGAGAAAUAUUUCUUAGCCAGCCUAUUCUCCUGGAACUAGAGGCACCGCUGAAGAUCUGUGGUGAUAUUCAUGGUCAGUAUACAGAUUUGCUUCGACUAUUUGAAUAUGGAGGAUUUCCACCAGAAGCGAAUUAUCUUUUCCUUGGAGAUUAUGUAGACAGAGGCAAACAGUCUCUGGAAACAAUUUGCCUACUUCUGGCAUAUAAAAUCAAGUACCCAGAAAACUUCUUUCUCUUAAGAGGAAAUCACGAGUGUGCUAGCAUCAACCGGAUCUACGGAUUCUAUGAUGAAUGUAAACGGAGGUUUAACAUUAAGCUUUGGAAGACCUUCACAGACUGCUUUAAUUGUCUGCCUAUUGCAGCCAUUGUGGAUGAGAAAAUCUUCUGCUGUCAUGGAGGACUGUCUCCAGAUCUCCAGUCAAUGGAGCAGAUCCGGAGAAUUAUGAGACCUACAGACGUUCCUGACACAGGCUUACUAUGUGACCUGCUGUGGUCUGACCCAGACAAAGAUGUGCAAGGUUGGGGUGAAAAUGAUCGUGGGGUCUCUUUCACUUUUGGUGCUGAUGUGGUCAGUAAAUUUCUGAAUCGUCAUGAUUUGGAUUUGAUCUGUCGAGCUCACCAGGUGGUUGAAGAUGGAUAUGAAUUCUUUGCAAAACGGCAGUUGGUCACCCUAUUCUCAGCUCCAAAUUAUUGUGGAGAGUUUGACAAUGCAGGUGGCAUGAUGAGUGUGGAUGAAACUCUGAUGUGUUCCUUUCAGAUAUUGAAGCCAUCUGAAAAGAAAGCCAAGUACCAGUAUGGUGGACUGAAUUCUGGGCGUCCAGUCACUCCACCUCGCACAGCUAAUCCACCGAAGAAGAGGUGAAGAAAGGAAUAAUGUAGAAAAACCAUCAGAUCUGUCAAGGACAAAACUCCAUAUUACAGUAUAUAAUAAGUGUGCACUGUAAAACCAUCCAGCCAUUUGACACCCUUUAUGAUGUCACACGUUUAACUUAAAGAGACGGUGAGUGACUUGAACCUGCCUGAAGCUUUCUUGAACCUGCCUGAAGCUUUCUUGAACCUGCCUGAAGCUUUCUUGAACCUGCCUGAAGCUUUCUUGAAAAGUUUGUUGGUCUACUUGAGUCAAGCAAAGCAGUGCUUUGUCAACAUUCCACACAUCUGUCUUUAAAAUAA